CCAUUAUGAUGCAAUGAUCUUCUACAGCCAAUAAGAAGCAGGCAGAAUGGAAUCAGAGUAACUCAGAAAUUUUGAGAAAGUGGAGGCAGCAGUCAUCUCUGAGGAGAAAGGUGGGGGGAGCUGGAGCAAGAGGAUUUCCGCGUAAUUCAUGGACCUCUAAGGCCACCAACGAUCAAACUGAGGAACGCUUUGGCCUUUGUUUCCUUGACUGAUACCAUGCAGAACCAAGUUGAAGACAAUGACUUGUCAGAGCAACUUGCUCUCCAUGAGUCUUGGAAGACCCCAUUCAGGAGAAUUAAUCAUCGUUUCACAAGAUGGUUUAGGAGAAAUUCCAUGGUUUAAUAUCAUGCAUGCUGCAAACACAGACCCAUGAACGGAUACAAUGACAUCUCCACAAUCAUCUUUUCCUCCUUUUUUGUGUUAUUCUAUUGGUUGUUGUCUAAUAAAGGCUUGCGUG
This is a long non-coding RNA of Heterocephalus glaber (naked mole-rat), 457 nucleotides long. RefSeq lists it as uncharacterized. The record is from RefSeq and is a predicted model, not a curated record. Lineage: Eukaryota; Metazoa; Chordata; Mammalia; Rodentia; Bathyergidae.